This 253-nucleotide ribosomal RNA is filed under the name uncultured bacterium. RNAcentral's name for it is "partial 16S ribosomal RNA". It matches the Rfam family "Bacterial small subunit ribosomal RNA", at positions 524 to 776 of the family's 1533-position model. The record is from RNAcentral.
UACGUAGGUGGCAAGCGUUGUCCGGAUUUAUUGGGCUUAAAGGGUGCGUAGGCGGCUUUGUAAGUCAGGGGUGAAAUAUGGCAGCUCAACUGUCAAGGUGCCAUUGAUACUGCGGAGCUUGAGUACAGAUGAGGUAGGCGGAAUUGACGGUGUAGCGGUGAAAUGCUUAGAUAUCGUCAAGAACACCUAUAGCGAAGGCAGCUUACUAGGCUGUAACUGACGCUGAGGCACGAAAGUGUGGGGAUCAAACAGG